UACGGAGGGAGCUAGCGUUGUUCGGAAUUACUGGGCGUAAAGCGCACGUAGGCGGCUUUGUAAGUUAGAGGUGAAAGCCUGGAGCUCAACUCCAGAACUGCCUUUAAUACUGCAUGGCUUGAAUCCAGGAGAGGUGAGUGGAAUUCCGAGUGUAGAGGUGAAAUUCGUAGAUAUUCGGAAGAACACCAGUGGCGAAGGCGGCUCACUGGACUGGUAUUGACGCUGAGGUGCGAAAGCGUGGGGAGCAAACAGG
RNAcentral lists this ribosomal RNA (253 nucleotides) under uncultured bacterium. RNAcentral describes it as "partial 16S ribosomal RNA". It matches the Rfam family "Bacterial small subunit ribosomal RNA", at positions 524 to 776 of the family's 1533-position model. The record is from RNAcentral.